RNAcentral lists this ribosomal RNA (498 nucleotides) under uncultured bacterium. RNAcentral describes it as "partial 16S ribosomal RNA". It matches the Rfam family "Bacterial small subunit ribosomal RNA", at positions 28 to 508 of the family's 1533-position model. The record is from RNAcentral.
GAUGAACGCUGGCGGCGUGCCUAAUACAUGCAAGUCGAGCGAACAGACGAGGAGCUUGCUCCUUUGACGUUAGCGGCGGACGGGUGAGUAACACGUAGGUAACCUACCUAUAAGACUGGGAUAACUUCGGGAAACCGGAGCUAAUACCGGAUAAUAUUUCGAACCGCAUGGUUCGAUAGUGAAAGAUGGCUUUGCUAUCACUUAUAGAUGGACCUGCGCCGUAUUAGCUAGUUGGUAAGGUAACGGCUUACCAAGGCAACGAUACGUAGCCGACCUGAGAGGGUGAUCGGCCACACUGGAACUGAGACACGGUCCAGACUCCUACGGGAGGCAGCAGUAGGGAAUCUUCCGCAAUGGGCGAAAGCCUGACGGAGCAACGCCGCGUGAGUGAUGAAGGGCUUCGGAUCGUAAAACUCUGUUAUUAGGGAAGAACAAACGUGUAAGUAACUGUGCACGUCUCGACGGUACCUAAUCAGAAAGCCACGGCUAACUACGUGC